CAGACAUUUAAGCAAUACCCUUUGGUGUGCCAGUAUUUUCAGAAGCACUGGGAAGGCAUUGGCCACAUGUGGUGUGACUACGGCCGUCGGUUCAGUCACGCUCGUUCUGAAACAAACAAUGUGAUUGAAAGAUUUUUCCACCGCCUGAAAUACCAGUUUUUAUCUGGCUACAAGAAUAGGCGUCUGGAUGAUCUGAUUGAAGUGCUCCUAGGGAAGGCCGACGACUACUUCUCAGUCAUAAAAACCCUGCAAGAUGUGGGCCGCAUGAAAAACAGGUUUGCUGACACCUUGUCUCAAGUUUCAGACUCUGCUUCAAGACUGAUGGAAAGUGGUUGGGCUCUUAAAAUUACAGUCAAGAACAGCCAUGGAGUUAAUGCAUAUCAAGUCCCAUCUGAGUCAAGAGAAGACAUGGUGUAUGAUGUCUGCCAUGUUGAGUCCUACUGCAACUGUACAUAUGGCUUACGAGGACUUCUUUGCAAGCAUCUAGUGUUACUUGCAAAAUUAGCAGAGGCUGACAAUGACAUCUAUCCAAACAUGGAAACAGACCUUGGCAAGAAUUGCAGUGAAAGAAAGGCAUUACUUUGUACACUGUGAGGACUUGAAAGUGAUAAAAAUGCCAAGUUUGUUUGGAAAUCUGUGUUUUUUUGCAUCGGCUGAAACACUUCAGUGCACUUGUUGUACGUUCUCUCACUAUAACACAUGUGCUUGCCUGAAGGUGGCUUGUAGCCAUUUUAAACAAAUGAAAAACUCUCUGAAAAGUCCUCUAUCAACUUUGAAUGACACUCCUGUAGUUGAAAGCACAGACAAAAAAUGCACAGAAGAUGCGGUUGGAAAACUAAAUGCUGUUUUAGACACAGUUAAACAGUGGGCAUUCAUUCCAGAGGGUAUUACUGCAAUGAUAGAUGAACUGCAUACAAAUGUCUUAAAAACAAAACAAGUAGGCAAAAGUAUAUGCCAGUACGAAAUAAAGAUGACAGAUAAUGCACGCAAAAUUAGGCCAUUGUAUUCUAGCAAGAAACGUUCGGCCAGCAUCGACAUUCCAACAGUCUGAAAAUGAAUGUGAACAGUCGAUAACCACUGAAAGAGAGACAUCCUCUGGAGAAAAUGAAAACCUUUUGGAAUACAAAACAAAAAAGAGAAGAGUUAAAGCUAAGUAUAUGCACAAGUAGACUUUUGUGUGACAUUUCAAAGGGACUGCAUCCAUUACUUCUGUUUAUUGAAACCUAAAGCUGAAUAGCUGUCUUAACUUUCUGCCAAGGAACAGAUGAAAAGAAAUUGUUUGGUCUCUCAAGCAGUUGUUAUUUAUGUGUGUUAUUCAUUACUUUGGCUUGGUUGCUGUUUUUGAUACAAAUUCAUCUGUGCCCAUUGUAAUAUUUUCAUAUGUUACUAUUUUUAUAUUGCUAUGCAUUAUAAAUAAAGGAUUACUUAUUACUAUUAAA
Maylandia zebra (zebra mbuna) is the source of this 1439-nucleotide non-coding RNA. Lineage: Eukaryota; Metazoa; Chordata; Actinopteri; Cichliformes; Cichlidae. The record is from RefSeq and is a predicted model, not a curated record.